Molecule: small nuclear RNA, 159 nt
Organism: Humulus lupulus (European hop)
Lineage: Eukaryota; Viridiplantae; Streptophyta; Magnoliopsida; Rosales; Cannabaceae
Product: U1 spliceosomal RNA
Exons: 1
Source: RefSeq, a predicted model, not a curated record
AUAGAUCGACGGGGUCAAUGAUUGAUCAAGAAGGGCUCGUGGCCUAGUUUGGUGGCUUCCAUUGCACCCAAGGAAGGUCGCCAAACUAAGGACAGCUCAAGUGGUAGUUCCUACGUCAUAAUUUUUGGUUGUGGGGGCCUACAUUCGUGCGGCCCCUCU